GAGGCUUAGCUCAGCUGGUGAGAGCGUUUGCUUGACAUGCAAGAGGUCACAGGUUCGAGUCCUGCAGUCUCC
RNAcentral lists this transfer RNA (72 nucleotides) under bovine gut metagenome. It matches the Rfam family "tRNA". From Rfam's summary of the family: Transfer RNA (tRNA) molecules are approximately 80 nucleotides in length. The record is from RNAcentral.